Molecule: ribosomal RNA, 301 nt
Filed under: uncultured bacterium
Lineage: Bacteria
Description: partial 16S ribosomal RNA
Rfam family: Bacterial small subunit ribosomal RNA
Source: RNAcentral
CAGCAGCCACGGUAAUACGUAGGGUGCGAGCGUUAAUCGGAAUUACUGGGCGUAAAGCGUGCGCAGGCGGUUUUGUAAGACAGAGGUGAAAUCCCCGGGCUCAACCUGGGAACUGCCUUUGUGACUGCAAGGCUAGAGUACGGCAGAGGGGGAUGGAAUUCCGCGUGUAGCAGUGAAAUGCGUAGAUAUGCGGAGGAACACCGAUGGCGAAGGCAAUCCCCUGGGCCUGUACUGACGCUCAUGCACGAAAGCGUGGGGAGCAAACAGGAUUAGAUACCCCUGUAGUCCCUGUCUCUUAUAA